RNAcentral lists this transfer RNA (72 nucleotides) under Camelus bactrianus (Bactrian camel). It matches the Rfam family "tRNA". Rfam says of the family: Transfer RNA (tRNA) molecules are approximately 80 nucleotides in length. RNAcentral also lists the same sequence under 1 other name. Lineage: Eukaryota; Metazoa; Chordata; Mammalia; Artiodactyla; Camelidae. The record is from Rfam by way of RNAcentral.
UAGGGUUUUGCCCAGUGGUAGAGUACGUGCUUAGCAUGCAUGAAAUCCUGGGUUCAAUCCCCAGUACCUCGA